UUGGUGAGGUAAUGGCUCACCAAGGCGACGACGGGUAGCCGGCCUGAGAGGGCGACCGGCCACACUGGGACUGAGACACGGCCCAGACUCCUACGGGAGGCAGCAGUGGGGAAUAUUGCACAAUGGGCGAAAGCCUGAUGCAGCGACGCCGCGUGAGGGAUGACGGCCUUCGGGUUGUAAACCUCUUUCAGCAGGGAAGAAGCGAAAGUGACGGUACCUGCAGAAGAAGCGCCGGCUAACUACGUGCCAGCAGCCGCGGUAAUACGUAGGGCGCAAGCGUUGUCCGGAAUUAUUGGGCGUAAAGAGCUCGUAGGCGGCUUGUCACGUCGGGUGUGAAAGCCCGGGGCUUAACCCCGGGUCUGCAUUCGAUAC
RNAcentral lists this ribosomal RNA (372 nucleotides) under uncultured bacterium. RNAcentral's name for it is "bacterial SSU rRNA". It matches the Rfam family "Bacterial small subunit ribosomal RNA", at positions 249 to 633 of the family's 1533-position model. The record is from RNAcentral.